Molecule: ribosomal RNA, 252 nt
Filed under: uncultured bacterium
Lineage: Bacteria
Description: partial 16S ribosomal RNA
Rfam family: Bacterial small subunit ribosomal RNA
Source: RNAcentral
UACGGAGGGAGCUAGCGUUGUUCGGAAUUACUGGGCGUAAAGCGCGCGUAGGCGGCUUUGUAAGUUAGAGGUGAAAGCCCGGGGCUCAACCCCGGAAUUGCCUUUAAGACUGCAUCGCUUGAAUCCGGGAGAGGUGAGUGGAAUUCCGAGUGUAGAGGUGGAAAUUCGUGAUAUUCGGAAGAACACCAGUGGCGAAGGCGGCUCACUGGACCGGCAUUGACGCUGAGGUGCGAAAGCGUGGGAGCAAACAGG